RNAcentral lists this small RNA (67 nucleotides) under Psychrobacillus sp. FJAT-21963. Its description in RNAcentral is "Bacillaceae-1 RNA". It matches the Rfam family "Bacillaceae-1 RNA". The record is from Rfam by way of RNAcentral. Lineage: Bacteria; Bacillati; Bacillota; Bacilli; Caryophanales; Bacillaceae.
UGUAGAGGAAUACAGUCUAAGUUCGCGACUUCGUGUCACAACGACUGUAUGACCCACUUCGUGUGGG